AAUCAACUAAUAGGAGGAGCAUGUAGGCAACUAACUCUACAGUGGCGCAAAAGGCCCACGAUAACCACUUUAGAGCAGAGGCGAGUGAGUGGGUCGGGUUUCAGCUGUUCAGAGAGCGCUCUGGUGAUCUUGCAGAGAUAGACGGCUAGAUAGACUGUCGUCUGGGACACUGCAGGACCGCUUUGAAGAUCUCGUCAAAUGGCAACGCUGAACCACAAGGCAAAUGAAUAAAGCUCCCUUUCAAAUCGGACAUGACUGAUUGAUUGAUCCAAAUCUACAGAAUGCCUCAUAAUACGUUGAUAUAGACACUCAUCUGAAUAUAGUAAGGUGGUUGGAGAAGAGGACAGCUGCAACUUGCCCAAGGCAACUCCCCUGUCAAAAGUUAGGUCGUAAGGAUAUAUAUCCCUUACAAUUCGCUUUUCACCUUUCUCCCGAUGAAUGUUGGAAUUUCGUUGUGGAUAAAAAUCUAAUAAACACAACAAACAUGGAAGAAGAUCAAAAGUGGGGAGUUGCUGGUAGAAGUGUAGGCAGGACUUGCAGUGAGCACCCUUGCAAAAAACGCUUUUGGAGGAAUUGGAAAGAUUUGUCAGGUAUAACUGUCGGCAUCGUAUUCUCUGUAUUGUCUCUUGGAUUUUGCAUUCUCGUUUACCUGAGAACCUCGGAGCUUCAGUCCAGGAUCCUAAACUUGGAAAAACAGAGAGAUACUCAGGUCUCCGCGUGGAUCUCACUCGAGCAGGUGGAACCAGUUAUCUUUGGCCGAAUAGAUCAGAUUCUGGAAGAGAAAUUGGCGGCUCGACUUCCUAAAACACGAGAGGCCAGAGAAGCACCCCAUAGCUGCGUCUGUCCACCAGGGCGUCCUGGGUCGAGGGGAAAGAGAGGUCGCAAUGGUGAUCCAGG
This is a long non-coding RNA of Oncorhynchus masou masou (cherry salmon), 897 nucleotides long. RefSeq lists it as uncharacterized. The record is from RefSeq and is a predicted model, not a curated record. The transcript has 3 exons. NCBI's taxonomy places the organism in Eukaryota, Metazoa, Chordata, Actinopteri, Salmoniformes, Salmonidae.